RNAcentral lists this ribosomal RNA (1349 nucleotides) under metagenome. RNAcentral's name for it is "bacterial LSU rRNA". It matches the Rfam family "Bacterial large subunit ribosomal RNA", at positions 1564 to 2925 of the family's 2925-position model. The record is from RNAcentral.
CGAGUCCGAGGAGCUAAGGCUCCAAAGUGAUGCGAGUCAGACUUCCCAGAAAAGCCCGAACCACGUUAAUUUCUAAUUACCUGUACCCGAAACCGACACAGGUAGGAAGGUAGAGAAUACUAAGGGGCGCGAGAUAACUCUCUCUAAGGAACUCGGCAAAAUUACCCCGUAACUUUGGGAGAAGGGGUGCCACCGCAAGGUGGUCGCAGUGAAGAGGCCCAGGCGACUGCUUACCAAAAACACAGGUCUCCGCCAAGUCGCAAGACGCAGUAUGGGGGCUGACGCCUGCCCAGUGCCGGAAGGUUAAGGAAGUUGGUUAGUUUCGACGAAGCUAGCGACCGAAGCCCCGGUGAACGGCGGCCGUAACUAUAACGGUCCUAAGGUAGCGAAAUUCCUUGUCGGGUAAGUUCCGACCCGCACGAAAGGCGUAACGAUCUGGGCACUGUCUCGGAGAGAGGCUCGGCGAAAUAGGAUUGUCUGUGAAGAUACGGACUACGUGCACCCGGACAGAAAGACCCUAUGAAGCUUUACUGUAGCUUGGUAUUGUGCUCGGGCUCGGAAUGCGCAGGAUAGGUGGGAGGCUUUGAUCCAUUGCUUGCGGGUGAUGGUGAGCCACUGGUGAGAUACCACUCUUUCCGAGCUAGAGUUCUAACCCUCGCCCGUUAUCCGGGGAGGGGACAGUAUCAGGUGGGCAGUUUGACUGGGGCGGUCGCCUCCUAAAAGGUAACGGAGGCGUGCAAAGGUUCCCUCAGGCUGGUUGGAAAUCAGCCGACGAGUGCAAAGGCAGAAGGGAGCUUGACUGUGAGACCUACAAGUCGAACAGGGACGAAAGUCGGCCUUAGUGAUCCGACGGUUCUGCGUGGAAGGGCCGUCGCUCAACGGAUAAAAGUUACUCUAGGAUAACAGGCUGAUCUCCCCCAAGAGUUCACAUCGACGGGGAGGUUUGGCACCUCGAUGUCGGCUCAUCGCAACCUGGGGCUGAAGUCGGUCCCAAGGGUUGGGCUGUUCGCCCAUUAAAGCGGUACGCGAGCUGGGUUCAGAACGUCGUGAGACAGUUCGGUCCAUAUCCGGUGCACGCGCAGGAAUAUUGAGAGGAUUUCUCCCUAGUACGAGAGGACCGGGAGGAACGCACCUCUGGUGUGCCAGUUAUCGUGCCAACGGUAAACGCUGGGUAGCCAUGUGCGGAGAGGAUAACCGCUGAAAGCAUCUAUGUGGGAAGCCCACCUCAAGAUGAGUAUUCCCAUGGCAAAAGCCAGUAAGGUCACGGGAAGAUUACCCGUUGAUAGGCUCUACGUGGAAGCGCAGCAAUGCGUGAAGCGGAGGAGUACUAAUAGACCGAGGGCUUGACC